RNAcentral lists this ribosomal RNA (468 nucleotides) under uncultured bacterium. RNAcentral's name for it is "partial 16S ribosomal RNA". It matches the Rfam family "Bacterial small subunit ribosomal RNA", at positions 28 to 507 of the family's 1533-position model. The record is from RNAcentral.
GACGAACGCUGGCGGCGUGCUUAACACAUGCAAGUCGAACGGAAAGGCCCUGCUUUUGUGGGGUGCUCGAGCGGCGAACGGGUGAGUAACCCGUGAGUAACCUGCCCUUGACUUUGGGAUAACUUCAGGAAACUGGGGCUAAUACCGGCUAGGAGCUCCUGCUGCAUGGUGGGGGUUGGAAAGUUUGGGCGGUUGGGGAUGGACUCGCGGCUUAUCAGCUUGUUGGUGGGGUAGUGGCUUACCAAGGCUUUGACGGGUAGCCGGCCUGAGAGGGUGACCGGCCACAUUGGGACUGAGGUACGGCCCAGACUCCUACGGGAGGCAGCAGUGGGGAAUAUUGCACAAUGGGCGGAAGCCUGAUGCAGCAACGCCGCGUGCGGGAUGACGGCCUUCGGGUUGUAAACCGCUUUCGCCUGUGACGAAGCGUGAGUGACGGUAAUGGGUAAAGAAGCACCGGCUAACUACGUG